GCCCCCGUAGCCUAAUGGAUAGGCAGCGGACUUCUAAUCCGUUCCACGUGGGUUCGAAUCCCGCCGGGGGUGCUA
This 75-nucleotide transfer RNA is filed under the name Candidatus Poribacteria bacterium. RNAcentral's name for it is "tRNA-Arg". It matches the Rfam family "tRNA". Rfam says of the family: Transfer RNA (tRNA) molecules are approximately 80 nucleotides in length. Their secondary structure includes four short double-helical elements and three loops (D, anti-codon, and T loops). Lineage: Bacteria; Candidatus Poribacteria. The record is from RNAcentral.